Molecule: ribosomal RNA, 395 nt
Filed under: Marimonadida sp.
Lineage: Eukaryota; Cercozoa; Imbricatea; Marimonadida
Description: partial small subunit ribosomal RNA
Rfam family: Eukaryotic small subunit ribosomal RNA
Source: RNAcentral
AUUCCAGCUCCAGUAGCGUAUAUUAAAGUUGUUGCAGUUAAAAAGCUCGUAGUUGGAUUUCUGGCAAGGCAGAGCUAACCUGGUACAGAUGUAUCGUGUGUUGGAUUCUGUCUGCCAUCCUUCCAGAAAACUUCAAUACCAUUCACUUGGCCGUUGUUGCAAUCUGGAACUUUUACUUUGAAAAAAUUAGAGUGUUCAAAGCAGGCGUUACGCCAUGAAUACAUUAGCAUGGAAUAAUAAUUUAGGACUUCAGUUCUAUUUUGUUGGUUUCUAGGACAGAAGUAAUGAUUGAUAGGGAUAGUUGGGGGUGCUAGUAUUCAGCGGCCAGAGGUGAAAUUCUUGGAUUCGCUGAAGACUAACUUAUGCGAAAGCAUUCACCAAGGAUGUCUUCAUUA